This 926-nucleotide ribosomal RNA is filed under the name Fusarium solani. RNAcentral describes it as "LSU rRNA". It matches the Rfam family "Eukaryotic large subunit ribosomal RNA", at positions 64 to 1023 of the family's 3401-position model. The record is from RNAcentral. Lineage: Eukaryota; Fungi; Ascomycota; Sordariomycetes; Hypocreales; Nectriaceae.
AACAACAGGGAUUGCCCCAGUAACGGCGAGUGAAGCGGCAACAGCUCAAAUUUGAAAUCUGGCUCUCGGGCCCGAGUUGUAAUUUGUAGAGGAUGCUUUUGGUGAGGUGCCUUCCGAGUUCCCUGGAACGGGACGCCAUAGAGGGUGAGAGCCCCGUCUGGUUGGACACCGAUCCUCUGUAAAGCUCCUUCGACGAGUCGAGUAGUUUGGGAAUGCUGCUCUAAAUGGGAGGUAUAUGUCUUCUAAAGCUAAAUACCGGCCAGAGACCGAUAGCGCACAAGUAGAGUGAUCGAAAGAUGAAAAGAACUUUGAAAAGAGAGUUAAACAGUACGUGAAAUUGUUGAAAGGGAAGCGCUUGUGACCAGACUUGGGCUUGGUUGAUCAUCCGGGGUUCUCCCCGGUGCACUCUUCCGGCCCAGGCCAGCAUCAGUUCGCCCUGGGGGACAAAGGCUUCGGGAAUGUGGCUCUCUCCGGGGAGUGUUAUAGCCCGUUGCGUAAUACCCUGUGGCGGACUGAGGUUCGCGCAUUCGCAAGGAUGCUGGCGUAAUGGUCAUCAGUGACCCGUCUUGAAACACGGACCAAGGAGUCGUCUUCGUAUGCGAGUGUUCGGGUGUCAAACCCCUACGCGAAAUGAAAGUGAACGCAGGUGAGAGCUUCGGCGCAUCAUCGACCGAUCCUGAUGUUAUCGGAUGGAUUUGAGUAAGAGCAUACGGGGCCGGACCCGAAAGAAGGUGAACUAUGCCUGUGUAGGGUGAAGCCAGAGGAAACUCUGGUGGAGGCUCGCAGCGGUUCUGACGUGCAAAUCGAUCGUCAAACAUGGGCAUGGGGGCGAAAGACUAAUCGAACCUUCUAGUAGCUGGUUUCCGCCGAAGUUUCCCUCAGAUAGCAGUGUUGAACUCAGUUUUAUGAGGUAAAGCGAAUGAUUA